This 99-nucleotide small RNA is filed under the name Rhizobium etli bv. phaseoli str. IE4803. Its description in RNAcentral is "miscellaneous other RNA". RNAcentral also lists the same sequence under 1 other name. Lineage: Bacteria; Pseudomonadati; Pseudomonadota; Alphaproteobacteria; Hyphomicrobiales; Rhizobiaceae. The record is from RNAcentral.
UUUAAGUAUCGCGUGAUCUGUAACCGUUGCCGGGGCAGCGACGAGCGCGCCUAAGAUCUGAUCCUCCCAAGACUUGACCGCGAAUUCGGCAAGAAUUUA